Molecule: long non-coding RNA, 360 nt
Filed under: Amborella trichopoda
Lineage: Eukaryota; Viridiplantae; Streptophyta; Magnoliopsida; Amborellales; Amborellaceae
Description: long non-coding RNA (ATRI_LNC002423)
Source: RNAcentral
AUAAAAUGAUAAUUUCAUUGAAACACAGAAUAUCUACUAAACAUGUCAAAACUGAUAAAUAUGUCAAUCACAAAAAAAACUGGUAAAAUAUGUUAUGAUGAAUUCUAGAUGCCAGAACAGAUAGUCUAAUUCCCAAGAACAUACUAGGAAUAAUAAUAAUGAAUAUCCAUAUCUGCAUUCUAGAUGCUAUUUUGUUGCUAAAUAAUAGUAAAAUAUGAAGCUUAUUUUUUACACCUCAUCUCAUCACUGGGAACCUAAACCCUCUUGUUUGUUAGAAUUGCUUAUUUAUUAUUAUUUUGUUGCUUAUUAAUAGUAUAAUGUAGUGUUUUUAUCUUUAUCAACAGUCAAAAUAUUCCUGAG